RNAcentral lists this long non-coding RNA (668 nucleotides) under Marmota monax (woodchuck). The record is from RNAcentral. Lineage: Eukaryota; Metazoa; Chordata; Mammalia; Rodentia; Sciuridae.
GCUUUUUAUUCACACCCACAGACACGAACCCUCAUCAUACCUGAGCCGUUGUCAUGUGUUAUAGUCCCAGCUACUCAGGAGUCUGAGGCAGGAGGAUUGCUUUAGCCCAGGAGUUCAUGGCAAGUCUGGGCAACACUGCAAGACCCCAUCUCAAAAAAGAAGAAGGAGAAGGAGAAAGGGGAAAAAAGAAAUCAUGCCUUUUUUUCCCCUAAACUUUUCAAAACUUAUUGCUAUAAAGUUGUGCCUACAGUUUUUAAAAAACAUAUAUUCUGCCCUUCAAUAGAUGGAUGAAUGGAUAAAAAAAUGUGGCAUUUAUACACAAUGGAGUAUUACUCUGCAUUAAAAAAUGACAAAAUCAUGGAAUUUUCAGGGAAAUGGAUGGCAUUAGAGCAGAUUAUGCUAAGUGAAGCUAGCCAAUCCCUAAAAAACAGAUGCCAAAUGUCUUCUUUGAUAUAAGGAGAGCAACUAAGAACAGAGUAGGGAGGAAGAGCAUGAGAAGAAGAUUAACAUUAAACAUGGACGAGAGGUGGGAGGGAAAGGGAGAGAGAAGGGAAAUUGCAUGGAAAUGGAAGGAGACCCUCAUGGUUAUACAAAAUUGCAUACAAGAGGAAGUGAGGGGAAAGGGGAAAAAAACAAACAAACAAGGGGGAGAAAUGAAUUAUAGUAGA